GGCGUCUAACGAAGAGACCGUCGGGGCUACCAUGCAGUCGAGGGGUAACAGGGAGCUUGCUCCGCUGACGACCGGCGCACGGGUGCGCAACGCGUAUGCAAUCUACCUCUUACUAAGGGAUAGCCCAGAGAAAUUUGGAUUAAUAUCUUAUGUGAUAUGUGACUGGCAUCGGUUACAUAUUAAAGGUUACGGUAAGAGAUGAGCAUGCGUCUCAUUAGUUAGUUGGUAAGGUAACGGCUUACCAAGACUUCGAUGAGUAGGGGUCCUGAGAGGGAGAUCCCCCACACUGGUACUGAGACACGGACCAGACUCCUACGGGAGGCAGCAGUGAGGAAUAUUGGACAAUGGACGGAAGUCUGAUCCAGCCAUGCCGCGUGUAGGAAGACUGCCCUAUGGGUUGUAAACUACUUUUAUACAGGAAGAAUAAGAUCUACGUGUAGAUUGAUGACGGUACUGUAAGAAUAAGGACCGGCUAACUCCGUGCCAGCAGCCGCGGUAAUACGGAGGGUCCGAGCGUUAUCCGGAAUUAUUGGGUUUAAAGGGUCCGUAGGCGGGCUGUUAAGUCAGAGGUGAAAUGCUGCGGCUCAACCGUAUGCACUGCCUUUGAUACUGGCGGUCUUGAGUUAUAGUGAAGUGGCUAGAAUAAGUAGUGUAGCGGUGAAAUGCAUAGAUAUUACUUAGAAUACCGAUUGCGAAGGCAGGUCACUAACUAUACACUGACGCUGAUGGACGAAAGCGUGGGUAGCGAACAGGAUUAGAUACCCUGGUAGUCCACGCCGUAAACGAUGGAUACUAGCUGUUCGGUUUUCGGACUGAGCGGCCAAGCGAAAGUGAUAAGUAUCCCACCUGGGGAGUACGUUCGCAAGAAUGAAACUCAAAGGAAUUGACGGGGGCCCGCACAAGCGGUGGAGCAUGUGGUUUAAUUCGAUGAUACGCGAGGAACCUUACCAGGCUUAAAUGUAGAUUGACAGGUUUAGAGAUAGACUUUUCUUCGGACAUUUACAGUGCUGCAUGGUGUCGUCAGCUCGUGCCGUGGAGGUGUCAGGUUAGUCCUAUACGAGCGCACCCUGUCGUAGUUGCCAGCAUGUAAUGAUGGGGACUCUAACGAGACUGCCGGUUGCAACCUGAGAAGGGUGGGGAAUAACGUCAUCAUACGGCGUUACGUCCUGGGCCACACACAUGUGCGCUGCUC
RNAcentral lists this ribosomal RNA (1192 nucleotides) under Cellulophaga sp. UI08. RNAcentral's name for it is "bacterial SSU rRNA". It matches the Rfam family "Bacterial small subunit ribosomal RNA", at positions 1 to 1235 of the family's 1533-position model. Lineage: Bacteria; Pseudomonadati; Bacteroidota; Flavobacteriia; Flavobacteriales; Flavobacteriaceae. The record is from RNAcentral.